UACGAAGGGGGCUAGCGUUGUUCGGAAUUACUGGGCGUAAAGCGCACGUAGGCGGACUAUUAAGUCAGGGGUGAAAUCCCGGGGCUCAACCCCGGAACUGCCUUUGAUACUGCGGAUCUCGAGUCCGAUAGAGGUGGGUGGAAUUCCUAGUGUAGAGGUGAAAUUCGUAGAUAUUAGGAAGAACACCGGUGGCGAAGGCGGCCCACUGGAUCGGUACUGACGCUGAGGUGCGAAAGCGUGGGGAGCAAACAGG
Molecule: ribosomal RNA, 253 nt
Filed under: uncultured bacterium
Lineage: Bacteria
Description: partial 16S ribosomal RNA
Rfam family: Bacterial small subunit ribosomal RNA
Source: RNAcentral